UACGGAGGGGGCUAGCGUUGUUCGGAAUUACUGGGCGUAAAGCGCACGUAGGCGGCUUUGUAAGUUAGAGGUGAAAGCCCGGAGCUCAACUCCGGAAUUGCCUUUAAGACUGCAUCGCUCGAAUCAUGGAGAGGUGAGUGGAAUUCCGAGUGUAGAGGUGGAAUGCGUAGAGAUCCGGAAGAACACCGGUGGCGAAGGCGGCCCGCUGGGCAGUGGCUGACGCUGAGGCGCGACAGCGUGGGGAGCAAACAGG
Molecule: ribosomal RNA, 253 nt
Filed under: uncultured bacterium
Lineage: Bacteria
Description: partial 16S ribosomal RNA
Rfam family: Bacterial small subunit ribosomal RNA
Source: RNAcentral